UGUAUAUCACCAAGUAUAAUA
This 21-nucleotide non-coding RNA is filed under the name Caenorhabditis elegans. The record is from RNAcentral. Lineage: Eukaryota; Metazoa; Nematoda; Chromadorea; Rhabditida; Rhabditidae.